UGUCGUUUGUUGAUGGGGUCGUUUUUAUAUAGAUUAGACCGUUUGUUUUUCUGUUCAAGUGGUAUUGCACUAGUCAAUUUUGGGACCAUACAUAGCUGGCUGUUCGGUGUCAGUUUGAGCCCAGGUUCCGUGUUGAAGAACAUACUUUGACCUAUAAAAGUUUUCUUUUACAAAUUGUGACUUGGAUGGAACGUAGUCUCAUUGGCACUCA
This 211-nucleotide long non-coding RNA is filed under the name Mytilus galloprovincialis (Mediterranean mussel). Lineage: Eukaryota; Metazoa; Mollusca; Bivalvia; Mytilida; Mytilidae. The record is from RNAcentral.